Molecule: long non-coding RNA, 351 nt
Filed under: Homo sapiens (human)
Lineage: Eukaryota; Metazoa; Chordata; Mammalia; Primates; Hominidae
Description: HSALNT0333584
Source: RNAcentral
ACCAAGGGCAGGAUCAGGAAAAACAAGGAAAGCAGAUGUGGGUCCUGGACCAACUGCCCUCCUAAGGUCUGUCCUCAGCAGGGACCUUCCCCUGACCUGUGAUUACUGGGGUCAGAUCCCCAUCACUACAAUCAUCAAGCCCGGGAGAUCUACAGGAGAUCGAGCAGGCUCCCCAUGGCCCCUGGUACCCGCGCGCUGCAGCGUCUCCUUCCCGUUCUCCAGGUGUCUGCGGAGCCACUCCAUGCAGGUGCCCUCCAGGCAUACUGCUCAUACCCGCGGAGGAGACGCCCGUCGGGCCCCAGGUCGCAGCCAAACAUUCCCUGGAGGAUGUGAUACCCUGGCCCAGUUCCC